Molecule: ribosomal RNA, 300 nt
Filed under: uncultured bacterium
Lineage: Bacteria
Description: bacterial SSU rRNA
Rfam family: Bacterial small subunit ribosomal RNA
Source: RNAcentral
GAUAAACGCUGGCGGCGUGCCUAACACAUGCAAGUCGAACGCCCUUACGCAAGUAAGGGAGUGGCGGACGGGUGAGGAACACGUGGGUGAUCUGCCUUGAGGUGAGGAAUACCGGCGAGAAAUCGCCGACAAUACCGCAUACGUUCGCAAGAACAAAGUCGCAAGACGCCUUGAGAUGAGCCUGCGUCCGAUUAGCUAGUUGGUGGGGUAAAAGCCUACCAAGGCAGCGAUCGGUAGCUGGUCUGAGAGGACGAUCAGCCACACUGGGAUUGAGAACGGCCCAGACUCCGUACGGGGGCG